GAUGAACGCUGGCGGCGUGCCUAAUACAUGCAAGUCGAGCGAACGGACGGGAAGCUUGCUUCUCUGAUGUUAGCGGCGGACGGGUGAGUAACACGUGGAUAACCUACCUAUAAGACUGGGAUAACUUCGGGAAACCGUAGCUAAUACCGGAUAAUAUUUUGAACCGCAUGGUUCAAAAGUUAAAGACGGUCUUGCUGUCACUUAUAGAUGGAUCCGCGCUGCAUUAGCUAGUUGGUAAGGUAACGGCUUACCAAGGCAACGAUGCAUAGCCGACCUGAGAGGGGGAUAGGCCACACGGGAGCUGAGACACGGUCAAGACGCCUAAGAGAGGCAGCAGUAGGGAAUCUGACGCAGUGGGCGAAAGCAUGACGGAGCAACGGCGAGUGAGUGAUGAAGGUGUUCGGAUCGUAAAAAUGUGUUAUAAGGGAAGAACAUAUGUGUAAGGAGCUGUGGACAUCUUGACGGUACCUAAACAGGAAGCCACGGCUAACUACGUG
RNAcentral lists this ribosomal RNA (497 nucleotides) under uncultured bacterium. RNAcentral's name for it is "partial 16S ribosomal RNA". It matches the Rfam family "Bacterial small subunit ribosomal RNA", at positions 28 to 507 of the family's 1533-position model. The record is from RNAcentral.